This 374-nucleotide ribosomal RNA is filed under the name uncultured bacterium. Its description in RNAcentral is "bacterial SSU rRNA". It matches the Rfam family "Bacterial small subunit ribosomal RNA", at positions 524 to 898 of the family's 1533-position model. The record is from RNAcentral.
UACGUAGGUGGCAAGCGUUGUCCGGAAUUACUGGGUGUAAAGGGCGUGUAGGCGGGUUAUUAAGUCAGAUGUGAAAUUCCAGGGCUCAACCCUGGCGCUGCAUCUGAAACUGAUGAUCUUGAGUACUGGAGAGGGAAGUGGAAUUCCUAGUGUAGCGGUGAAAUGCGUAGAUAUUAGGAGGAACACCAGUGGCGAAGGCGACUUUCUGGACAGUAACUGACGCUGAGGCGCGAAAGCGUGGGGAGCAAACAGGAUUAGAUACCCUGGUAGUCCACGCCGUAAACGAUGGAUACUAGGUGUGAGGGGGAUUACCUCUUCGUGCCGCAGUUAACACAAUAAGUAUCCCACCUGGGGAGUACGGCCGCAAGGUUGAA